UUAAGCGACUAAGCGUACACGGUGGAUGCCCUGGCAGUCAGAGGCGAUGAAGGACGUGCUAAUCUGCGAAAAGCGCCGGCGAGGUGAUAUGAACCCUUGACCCGGCGAUGUCCGAAUGGGGAAACCCAGUGUGUUCCGACACACUAUCGUUAACUGAAUACAUAGGUUAACGAGGCGAACCGGGGGAACUGAAACAUCUAAGUACCCCGAGGAAAAGAAAUCAACCGAGAUUCCCCCAGUAGCGGCGAGCGAACGGGGAGCAGCCCGGAGUCUGAAUCAGCUUGUGUGUUAGUGGAACGGUCUGGAAAGUCCGACGGUACAGGGUGAUAGUCCCGUACACGAAAAUGCACAUGCUGUGAACUCGAAGAGUAGGGCGGGACACGUGGUAUCCUGUCUGAAUAUGGGGGGACCAUCCUCCAAGGCUAAAUACUCCUGACUGACCGAUAGUGAACCAGUACCGUGAGGGAAAGGCGAAAAGAACCCCGGCGAGGGGAGUGAAAAAGAACCUGAAACCGUGUACGUACAAGCAGUGGGAGCCUCUUUAUGGGGUGACUGCGUACCUUUUGUAUAAUGGGUCAGCGACUUAUAUUCUGUAGCAAGGUUAACCGUAUAGGGGAGCCGAAGGGAAACCGAGUCUUAACUGGGCGUUAAGUUGCAGGGUAUAGACCCGAAACCCGGUGAUCUAGCCAUGGGCAGGUUGAAGGUUGGGUAACACUAACUGGAGGACCGAACCGACUAAUGUUGAAAAAUUAGCGGAUGACCUGUGGCUGGGGGUGAAAGGCCAAUCAAACCGGGAGAUAGCUGGUUCUCCCCGAAAGCUAUUUAGGUAGCGCCUCGUGAACUCAUCUUCGGGGGUAGAGCACUGUUUCGGCUAGGGGGCCAUCCCGGCUUACCAACCCGAUGCAAACUACGAAUACCGAAGAAUGUUAUCACGGGAGACACACGGCGGGUGCUAACGUCCGUCGUGAAGAGGGAAACAACCCAGACCGCCAGCUAAGGUCCCAAAGUCAUGGUUAAGUGGGAAACGAUGUGGGAAGGCACAGACAGCCAGGAUGUUGGCUUAGAAGCAGCCAUCAUUUAAAGAAAGCGUAAUAGCUCACUGGUCGAGUCGGCCUGCGCGGAAGAUGUAACGGGGCUAAACCAUGCACCGAAGCUGCGGCAGCGACACUAUGUGUUGUUGGGUAGGGGAGCGUUCUGUAAGCCGUUGAAGGUGUGCUGUGAGGCAUGCUGGAGGUAUCAGAAGUGCGAAUGCUGACAUAAGUAACGAUAAAGCGGGUGAAAAGCCCGCUCGCCGGAAGACCAAGGGUUCCUGUCCAACGUUAAUCGGGGCAGGGUGAGUCGACCCCUAAGGCGAGGCCGAAAGGCGUAGUCGAUGGGAAACAGGUUAAUAUUCCUGUACUUGGUGUUACUGCGAAGGGGGGACGGAGAAGGCUAUGUCAGCCGGGCGACGGUUGUCCCGGUUUAAGCAUGUAGGCGGAGGUUCCAGGUAAAUCCGGUACCUUUUAACGCUGAGGUGUGAUGACGAGGCACUACGGUGCUGAAGUGAUAAAUGCCCUGCUUCCAGGAAAAGCCUCUAAGCAUCAGGUAACACGAAAUCGUACCCCAAACCGACACAGGUGGUCAGGUAGAGAAUACCAAGGCGCUUGAGAGAACUCGGGUGAAGGAACUAGGCAAAAUGGUGCCGUAACUUCGGGAGAAGGCACGCUGAUAGGUAGGUGAAGCCCCUGCGGGCGGAGCUGAAAUCAGUCGAAGAUACCAGCUGGCUGCAACUGUUUAUUAAAAACACAGCACUGUGCAAACACGAAAGUGGACGUAUACGGUGUGACGCCUGCCCGGUGCCGGAAGGUUAAUUGAUGGGGUUAGCGGCAACGCGAAGCUCUUGAUCGAAGCCCCGGUAAACGGCGGCCGUAACUAUAACGGUCCUAAGGUAGCGAAAUUCCUUGUCGGGUAAGUUCCGACCUGCACGAAUGGCGUAAUGAUGGCCAGGCUGUCUCCACCCGAGACUCAGUGAAAUUGAACUCGCUGUGAAGAUGCAGUGUACCCGCGGCAAGACGGAAAGACCCCGUGAACCUUUACUAUAGCUUGACACUGAACACUGGUCCUUGAUGUGUAGGAUAGGUGGGAGGCUUUGAAGCGUGGACGCCAGUCUGCGUGGAGCCGCCCUUGAAAUACCACCCUUUAAUGGCUGGUGUUCUAACGUAGACCCGUGAUCCGGGUUGCGGACAGUGUCUGGUGGGUAGUUUGACUGGGGCGGUCUCCUCCCAAAGAGUAACGGAGGAGCACGAAGGUUGGCUAAUCCUGGUCGGACAUCAGGAGGUUAGUGCAAUGGCAUAAGCCAGCUUGACUGCGAGCGUGACGGCGCGAGCAGGUGCGAAAGCAGGUCAUAGUGAUCCGGUGGUUCUGAAUGGAAGGGCCAUCGCUCAACGGAUAAAAGGUACUCCGGGGAUAACAGGCUGAUACCGCCCAAGAGUUCAUAUCGACGGCGGUGUUUGGCACCUCGAUGUCGGCUCAUCACAUCCUGGGGCUGAAGUAGGUCCCAAGGGUAUGGCUGUUCGCCAUUUAAAGUGGUACGCGAGCUGGGUUUAGAACGUCGUGAGACAGUUCGGUCCCUAUCUGCCGUGGGCGCUGGAGAAUUGAGGGGGGCUGCUCCUAGUACGAGAGGACCGGAGUGGACGCAUCACUGGUGUUCGGGUUGUCAUGCCAAUGGCACUGCCCGGUAGCUAAAUGCGGAAAAGAUAAGUGCUGAAAGCAUCUAAGCACGAAACUUGCCCCGAGAUGAGUUCUCCCUGAGACUUUAAGUCUCCUGAAGGAACGUUGAAGACGACGACGUUGAUAGGUCGGGUGUGUAAGCGCAGCGAUGCGUUGAGCUAACCGAUACUAAUGAACCGUGAGGCUUAACCUU
This 2902-nucleotide ribosomal RNA is filed under the name Enterobacter sp. MGH 38. Its description in RNAcentral is "bacterial LSU rRNA". It matches the Rfam family "Bacterial large subunit ribosomal RNA". Lineage: Bacteria; Pseudomonadati; Pseudomonadota; Gammaproteobacteria; Enterobacterales; Enterobacteriaceae. The record is from RNAcentral.